GACGAACGCUGGCGGCGUGCUUAACACAUGCAGGUCGAGCGACUGCAUUCUUUUCGGAGGGUGUAUGGAGCGGCGAACGGGUGAGUAACACGUGAGUAAUCUGCCUUUGGCUUGGGAAUAACUUCGGGAAAUCGGGGCUAAUGCCUGAUGUUUACUGUCUGCUGCAUGGUGGGUGGUGGAAAGAUUUUUUGGCCAGGGAUGAGCUCGCGGUCUAUCAGCUUGNGGUGGGGUAAUGGCUUACCAAGGCUUUGACGGGUAGCCGGCCUGAGAGGGUGUUCGGCCACACUGGGACUGAGACACGGCCCAGACUCCUACGGGAGGCAGCAGUGGGGAAUAUUGCGCAAUGGGCGUAAGCCUGACGCAGCGACGCCGC
Molecule: ribosomal RNA, 373 nt
Filed under: uncultured bacterium
Lineage: Bacteria
Description: bacterial SSU rRNA
Rfam family: Bacterial small subunit ribosomal RNA
Source: RNAcentral